This is a long non-coding RNA of Anthonomus grandis grandis, 678 nucleotides long. RefSeq lists it as uncharacterized. The record is from RefSeq and is a predicted model, not a curated record. The transcript has 2 exons. NCBI's taxonomy places the organism in Eukaryota, Metazoa, Arthropoda, Insecta, Coleoptera, Curculionidae.
GCAAAUUUUCAGUGUUAAGAAUGUCGCAGGUCUUAACGCACGCAGAAUAUGCCGAUAUGGUGUUCGUUUAUGGUGUCUGCAACGCCGAAGUAUCUUUUAGAGACUAUAGCCGACGAUUUUCGAACAGACGAUUACCGAGUCUAAGAGUAUUAACUUGUGUCUUCGUCAAACUGCGUGAGACUGGUAGUAGGUUUAAAUCCGAACGUGCGAAUUAACAAAACUUGGAUGAAUUAGAACAGAUCCUUAAAUCGGUGGAAGCUAGUUCUGCUACGAGUACACGGAAAUUGCUGUACGCAUCGGUGUUCCUCACGUAAAGUACGACGGAGCGCCCAUACAUAACAGCCGCCAAGUGACACAAUACUUGAAUCAAACUUUCCCAGGACGUUGGAUCGGCCGCGGUGGUGCCAUCAGUUGGCCACCAAAGUCGCAUGACUUACUCCCCUAGAUUUUGGAUUGUAGGGAUGGCUGAAAAACGAAUUUUAACAAGAAAAAGCAAAUACGCGAGGCGAGUUAAUCAUGUCAUGAUACGCUCCAAAGAACUACACUCGAAAUUCCUCCUAGAGCUGAGAAGUGUAUUGAAGUUGGCGGUGGGAUUUUCGAACCAUUUCGCUGAACUAGUAACAGCGAAUUUUCAUUUAUUUGUAUUGAAAGUUAUUAAAUGAACUAGCUAUUAAUGAA